This is an RNA transcript of Apis laboriosa (Himalayan honeybee), 4461 nucleotides long. It is a transcript of the gene named TGF-beta-activated kinase 1 and MAP3K7-binding protein 3, with no coding region annotated. NCBI's taxonomy places the organism in Eukaryota, Metazoa, Arthropoda, Insecta, Hymenoptera, Apidae. The transcript is spliced from 11 exons. The record is from RefSeq and is a predicted model, not a curated record.
UUGUAGAAACGAAUAUAUCAAUAUUUACAUUGACUUUUAAGUUUAUAGAUAUUUUUAAUAUCUUAUUCAUUUCCAACAAAAAUUUGGAAAAUAUAUUUUCUACAUCAUGAUAGAAUAGAAUUUUCUAAAAAUGAAAAGAAAUAUGUCUAUAUUAACGACGUUGCUAUCUAUUCGUAUAAGUUUUAAAAUAGCAUACUCCUUCCCUUUCCUUGAGACUGAUACUGAUUAUUACGACGUGUCUUCCAUUCAUAAAUAGGGAAGCACUUGUCGUAUGAGCGGCCAUUUUGACUACGCAAUCAAUAAAACUUCUUUUAUUUUGAUAUUUAAAAAUGCAAACUUUCAUAUGAAUGUUCGAAAAUGAAUAAAUAAUAAAAUUAAAUUAAAAUAUUCGAAGUAUAUAGAAAUAUUUUUGCUAAAUAAAAAACAUUUGAAUGCAUAUAGUUUUUCAAUCGAUUAAUGUCGUUUCAGUACGCAGUGCACAGCUGAUCAGUGGUCCCAACGGACGGUCGCCGCUUGUUCGUGUUUUAAAAUCUUCGAAAACGACUGAAAAGUUACUAUUAUCCGCGUGUCUGUACAGUGACAAUUAAAAUUUCACUUUUAAAUACGUGAAUAAAAUUGCGGCAUUUACAAAGUGUUUUUAUCAAGUGUUCGAAGUGAACGAUUACUGGUUUCUCGUUCGUUGGACAUUUCCAAUGGUUGCCGUCCGGGCGGAAACGAUUCGUUUGGCAGUGUGACAUUUGUGCAGAGAUAUUGGAACAAUUACGAACAAUCGGAAAACGGGAGUAAAGGAUAUACAAAAAGAAACAUCGAAAAAUUAUUCCAAAUGCGUGAAAAUACUCGUGGAAUUUGCUUUUCCCUGCAUUGCCAGGAGUAGACGAAAACAGCCACGCUGUGUCUCCUGGGUAUUUCAUGACACAAAUAUCUUCCCGGCAUGUUGGAAUUCCGCUUUUCCUUUUUCGCCUGUCCCGACGAACGACGUUCUCGUUCCCCUCUUAAAAUCCCCUCUGUGUCACUGAUAGAAACAUCCUGCGUGUCUGGUGCAAUUAAAAGAUGCUUCUCCUUUGCUCUCAGGCCAAGGGAAAAAUAUAUUCGUUCCGCUCCCGAUCGAAACAGCAGCGCGAGAGCUGUCCAUCGUCUCGAAUCCCGCUUUGUAAGAAUAAACGUAUAAUGUCAUCGUUGGUCGUUGUCGAGGGAAAAGUCACAUGUAUCGCAUGUAUUUUCCGUUGAUGAGGAUUCCGUUUGGCAAAGCGAGUUCGGUAGAGAUUUGCACAAUCCUCGACGGGGUCGGAACGAAUUCGAUUCACUGUUGCAUUUCCGCAUCGAGUACCUGCCCACUCGCGUUUAUUUGCAUUUUCGUCAUUUGCGUGUCGAACGACCGACUGUCUGGCAGACGUUGCCGGUACAACCAGCAAAAACGCGUGACAGAUACAAAGUGACGCGAAUGUAACUUUGUAACUUUAACUUUAUACAAAUACUUAGAACAAAAAUACAUAUUUUAUAUUCGUAUAAGAAUGGUGAAGGAACUAGUAGAAGAAUGGUAAAAAAUCUUGCGAUUCAUAAGGAUUCGUAACGGAUAUUUUUCGAUAAGAACUUUGAAUGCGUUUUUUUUUUUUUAAACACGUGCGUUUCGUUUGCCCGAUUCGGAACACGAUUAAGAAAGCCGCGGUUAGAAAGUAGCGGUGUUUAAAAGAAGAUACUCCGAUUAGGGCGAACGCUCUCUAAUCGGAGGCUUGAAUGUACGGCCGCGUGCCAAUAAACAGUUUUCUCUCUGAUUGAUGCUUCACUCACCUGACAUGCCGGCCUGCCAGGUGCUAGGCAACGGAAGAAAGAGAGUCGAAUUAUUAAUUCUACCUAGGACUUUAUUCUCUCACGUGGCUGGGUGCCAAGUGCGAAUUGCACUCGCAAAGCUUCUAACCUCUUAGUUUCUUCCGAUCGAGCGAACAACCCUCUCUCUACUCGCUUUUUCUGGAUUUUCGGCACAGCCUUAACGCAUCCACAAUCGAAAAUGCGUAGGAGUAGCUGCGAGUCGGACGGUAGGCCUUGCCAGGAGGAUGGGGGCCCACGAUGGGGGAGUGCCAUUGCUCUAACAUCGCUAUCAUGCAGCUGUUCCAUGAGCUGAAGCAGCAGUUCCCUGCGCUCCCUGAUCACGUCGUUUCCCAGUGCAUCGCCCAGAACAGCCACGAUCGGGAGACAUGCGCGAGAAGUCUUCGCGCCACCCAAGAGUCACGACAGUCUCCGGGUGCAUUCCCACCGGCGGUACUUUGCGGCAUCCUCCAGCAGCAACAGCAUCAUCAACAACGAGCGAACCACGUGGCUGCGCAGCAGCAACGUUGCUGUUCGAUGAAUCAAGCGCAGCGCGGUUGCGGCACGAGCAACCCCCCCACCACCACCACCAACAACACGCGGCCGCACAGGCCGGCAUCACUGGACAUCGGUAUGGCGCGGCGUUGCCCUGUCGCCUGUACACGAGCAGCUGCCGUAUCAGCCUCCUCGCCGGUCGCGGCUAACUCAUCCACCACCCCUUCCUCGGCGCCUGCCGUCUGUACGACACGCGGUUUCUUCGACGAUUGCACAGGAGCCAGCGACUCGAAUUGCCUUAACAAAGUCCAGAACGCGGGAAACGAGCCAGCCGGAUUCGAGCUGAACGUGAACGUUGCCUGUAGCCCUGCUGGCAAUCGCGACUUUCGAACGGUGCCUACGAUUGGUGGUGCCUGUAAACGAAGUGAUCUGCUCCUCGAUCCACGGACUUAUUAUGCCGAGCCAUUACUGAACGUGGUAAACACGGGGCCGCAGAUCGAUCACACGCGAAGCUACACCUCGGUUAGUCUGACGCUGAGGCCCCCAUCCUCGGAACCUCAACCACCGAUCGACAUCAGAUCACAGGGCUCGAGUCUCACUUACUCGAGCUCUUCUCUAGAUCCUCGGGGCUUUCAAAGUCGUCUUCAGAUCAGCAUUGGGGCGGGAGCCGUUGGCACUGUGGCGGCUGCGAGAAUCAGGCCUCCGAUGGGCCCCAAUAGGCCCAACAGUCUGAUACCGCCGGCGCAGACCGGUCCUCAAAGACCACCAGUUGCAGGUCUUCCAGCAGGGCCACCUAGUCAGUUGCCGAGGCCUACGACGACAAUGAGCGCCCCAACUACACCUUCCGUACCAUCGACAACGAACAUCGUCCCUUCCAUUAGCCUUCCAACGACUCCGUCAGGACCGACGACGACCUCGCCGCCCUCCAGUCCCAUUGGUGAGCGCGUAUCGGCCAAUUCCGAUCAAAAUCGAUCGCCGUUGAAUCAAGUGGCGGAGCAUCAAAAGAAAUUGGUCGCAGAGCAGUUAGAAAGAAAAGAAAGACUCGCCAGGGAAUUGAGAGCCGAGAAAGGACGACUCGAAGCGAUGAAGAAAGAAUUACAAUCUCUCACGAGGCCUCUUGAUUCUUCUAUGCCUCCUCAAGAAUUAAAAAAAAAAUUACGAAGCGAGAUCUAUCAGUUACAAGUUGAAUGCGAUAGACUCGCGGAUGAAGUAGAUCAAUGGUCAGAUCCAAGAGUACCUUUGGGUGAAACGAAUGAAAAGUUUUAUCAGCAUAUUUAUACUGGUCAACCUUUACCAUCGAGUUCUGUCAGUUCCAAUCCACCGCCUUUGCCAAGUCAACCACCCGCCUGGCAACCGGAACUACUAAGUGAUAACAAUACUGACAGAGAAGAACGAGACGGACCUUCUUGGGUCUGUAGAAUGUGCACGUUCGAUAAUCAUCCAUUGAUGAAUAAAUGCGAACAAUGCGAUAUGCCACGGUUGAUGGAUCAUGGAAACACAGGUACGACUUCUGGAAAAUCGAUAGAGGACCUUACAACCUCGUUACCGCCGCCUCCACCGCCUUUGGAAUAGUAAACUCCAAUGUCUUAACCGCAUGUUUUUCUUUUUUUGACAUUUGUGAGUUAACAGAUAACUCACAGAAUAAUAUUUCACAAACAAUUAAUUAAUAUAUGAAAAAUAUAUGAUCUCUAUACUUCUUAUAGUGUGAUGGAGCAAUACAACCAAAGGUGAUAUUACUUUUCUAUUGUAAAAUUGCUCGUUGAAGGAAUUAUGUAAUGACAACGUAAUGAUGAACAUACGGCAUAAAUAAAAUAGAUUUAUUAUGUACUUAAGUGCACGAAUGUGUGCUAUUUUCUACUUUUAUGAUUUUUCUUAUUUUUUUAAUGAAUUUAUUUUUAACAUAAAGGCAUGAUUAAUCUACCAUAUAUUUUGCAGUGUUAUUUUUUCUAAUUAUUAAUAAUUUAAUAUUAUUUAAUAAUUGACGAGUUAAUAAUCACAAAUUGGCGAGACUCAAGAUAUCCAUAUACGAGUUACACAUCAUCAUAACUUUUCCCCAAGUCGGACAGUGCAUAGUUGGGUGGUAUAACGUAAAUUACAUUGGAAACAUAAAAACUGUAAAUACAAUCACUAUUUAAAUUAAAUAAAAAGUUGCAGCCAACCUAU